AAAAUCGUCGACUUUAUAAAUCGUGAGGGUUCAAGUCCCUCUAUCCCCA
RNAcentral lists this transfer RNA (49 nucleotides) under Almaleea cambagei. RNAcentral describes it as "partial tRNA-Leu". Lineage: Eukaryota; Viridiplantae; Streptophyta; Magnoliopsida; Fabales; Fabaceae. The record is from RNAcentral.